CCCCGGUAAACGGCGGCCGUAACUAUAACGGUCCUAAGGUAGCGAAAUUCCUUGUCGGGUAAGUUCCGACCUGCACGAAUGGCGUAAUGAUGGCCAGGCUGUCUCCACCCGAGACUCAGUGAAAUUGAACUCGCUGUGAAGAUGCAGUGUACCCGCGGCAAGACGGAAAGACCCCGUGAACCUUUACUAUAGCUUGACACUGAACAUUGAGCCUUGAUGUGUAGGAUAGGUGGGAGGCUUUGAAGUGUGGACGCCAGUCUGCAUGGAGCCGACCUUGAAAUACCACCCUUUAAUGUUUGAUGUUCUAACGUGGACCCGUAAUCCGGGUUGCGGACAGUGUCUGGUGGGUAGUUUGACUGGGGCGGUCUCCUCCUAAAGAGUAACGGAGGAGCACGAAGGUUGGCUAAUCCUGGUCGGACAUCAGGAGGUUAGUGCAAUGGCAUAAGCCAGCUUGACUGCGAGCGUGACGGCGCGAGCAGGUGCGAAAGCAGGUCAUAGUGAUCCGGUGGUUCUGAAUGGAAGGGCCAUCGCUCAACGGAUAAAAGGUACUCCGGGGAUAACAGGCUGAUACCGCCCAAGAGUUC
Molecule: ribosomal RNA, 584 nt
Filed under: Salmonella enterica
Lineage: Bacteria; Pseudomonadati; Pseudomonadota; Gammaproteobacteria; Enterobacterales; Enterobacteriaceae
Description: partial 23S ribosomal RNA
Rfam family: Bacterial large subunit ribosomal RNA
Source: RNAcentral